GAGUUUGGGUUCAGGUUGCAGCCUCCGGGCAGUGCUUACCUCAGGCAGCUCCUGGGAAGCAGCUGACAUGUCUGGCUCCUCGGUGGAGGGACAGGCAGGGGGCUCUGCGCUCUCUCCCCAUCCGCAGACGCUGCCCCUGCAGCUCCCAUUGGCUGCGGUUCCUGACCAAUGGGAGCUGCGGAGCAGGCAGGCAGGGCAGGGGCAGUGCGCAGAUCCCCUGUGGCCGCCCCUGCACCUUGGAGCUGGACAUGCUGCUGCUUCAGGGAAAAAGAGUUUUUAAACAAAGCUUUAAAGAUUUUGUUUAAGCAACAUGGGGUACACCAUUUUGUUACCAAUAAUGAAGUCAAGGCUGGGGUUGUGGAGAGGUUUAACAGAACUUUAAAAUCAAAGAUGUGGAGGUAUUUUACUGCCCGUAGCACCUUUUGAUACAUCAACGUGCUGCGGGCCAUCAUAGACAGUUACAACAGAAGUUAUCACAGAACUAUCAGAGGACGCCCGAUCAACGUGACACACACUAACGUGCUGAGCAUGUGGAAAACCGUCUAUGGGGAUAGUUUUAAAAUAAAGGCACCAUCAGUGAUUUUUAAGAACAGCGAUCACAAAAGGGUAUCUAAAACGAAGGGUACUUUUGAAAAGGGAUAUUAGCAAACCUUUACUGAUGAAAUAUUUACUGUAUCUGGGGUUUUAUUACGAGGACAGUGGCCUAUGUACGCAUUAAAAGAUUAUGGAGAAGAGGAGGUCGCAGGAAGUCUUUUUACCCUGAAGAAUUACAAAAAGUAAACCCUAACCAGGACCGUGUUUACAGGGUAGAAAAGAUUCUAGUGAAGAAAGGACAGGAAAGAAUGAGUAUUUUUUGAUGAAAUGGAGAGGAUGGCCUUAAAAAUUUAACAGUUGGGUUAAAGCGUCUCAAGUUCAAGACCUCUAAUAAAGGGAAAAAAUGACUGAAGUGGGUUAUGUUAACUUGCCCAGCAAAGCCUCUGCAGGGGCUUUUCCUCAUAAUAGUCUGGCCAACAGGAGGGUUUUAUAAAGAGAUGGUGGGGGCCCACGAAAGCACCAUUUUGGAUGGCACAGGUAAUGAGGGGUCUAUGCGCAAGCCCAGACUAAUGGCCGGCAGCAAGAAGCUGGAUUUUUUGGGGCCUACACAGUGAUUUGCUUUUUCAAGGAAAACUACUGCUGAAUGGCGUGGACUUGAAAAUUAAACUGACGCAUAGCAAAGAUGGUUUUUGCCUUGUGAGAGGGAAUGCCAACCAGAAUUAUAAAGUGCAUAUUACUUCAGUGUCCCUGUUUGUAAAACAGGUGAAAGUGACACCAGGGGUUCGCUUGGAGCAUGUGGAAGCUCUAAUGACCGCCAGUGCUAAGUACCCGGUAGACAGGAUGGACAUAAAGAUGUUUAGAAUUCUGGCCGGCAGUUGUCAGUAACCAGGAAAACCUUUUUUUGGGACAGUUACCCACACAGUUCAUAAUCAGGUUUAUCGAUAACGAUGCCUUCAACGACAACUAUGCUAAAAACCCUUUUAACUUUAAACAUUAUAACAUAAAUUUUGUGGCCUUGUAUGUGGAUGGUGAACAGGGGCCAGCGAAACCCCUACGACCCGAUUUUGAGAAUGGAAACUGCAUGAGGGAGUACAUACAGCUCGUGCAGGCGAUUGGGAAAUAUGUAAAAGACGGAUCACUCUUGAAUGACCAUCGUGAAUUUGCCCAGGCUAACACGCUGUACGCUUUCAAUCUGACCCCGGACUAGGAGUGCGCUAAUCAUUAUUCUCUGAUUAAAACUGGAAACCUGAGAGCGGAGAUUCGGUUUGCAACGGUGCUGCUCUCUACGGUUAACAUGAUAGUGUAUGGGGUUUUUGAUAAUAUGCUUGAAGUGAAUCAUAGAAGAAAAAUCCUGUUUGACUAUAUAUGAUUAUGAACACCGUGCAGCUAAGGCAUCUUUUAUCAAAGGAUGCUUCUUUUUUAGAUGUUUUUCCUAGUGACUUGCUCCCAAAGGGGUCUGUGUCUGGAAGACCUUUGGGGCUUAUUGUUAACACGCACCCCCAUGACUUACCUGGGGAACACUGGCUGGCCCUCUAUUUACCAAAGCAGGGGCCGGGCGAGUUCUUUGAUUCCUAUGGAUUUCCCCCAGACACCCUUUAGGAGUCCUCUUGUUAGUGAAAGAAUAAAAGCUGGUUACCCCUCGACUAAAUCGAGCAUGUGAGACCCCGCAACCACUUCCCCCGGUAAACAAAACUUCCAUUAUCGGCCAAGAAGAAACAUCUUUAUGCUAUCUUGAGUUUAUUUAACACUAUUUCAGCUUUUUUCUUAUAGCGAGGAUUUACCCCCUCCAAUACCUCCCAAAUAACAAAGUCUGAUGAAUUCCUCUCGACUUCAGGAGGUCGAAUUUUCUCUUGCUCUUGCUUGGGGAGAAAGAGACUUAUUUUAGUAUUUUCCACUUCACCCUGCUUAACCAAUACCAGGUAUCUUUGCAGGACCCUCUCAUAAAGUUUAAUCUUUUCAUAGUUGGACAAAUUGUAUCUUUGAUUAAUGUCUUUCAUCUCUGAAUCCAAUUGGGGAGUGGUUGUAGUUCUGAUAUUUUCUUCACCGCUAGAAGCGCAUUUUAUUUGUUCUAACUGAUGGCUAGAAAACAAGGUACAAUUUUUCGGCAUGGUCCAUUAUCAGUUAAUUAAAAGGGCUGACAGUAGAGGGAGUGCAAAGCUCAACAAAGGACCGAUAAAGCCCCCGGCCUGUUUUACAAUUAGCUUUUUCUUUUUGAGGGAUACCCUUUUAUCGCUCAGCUUUUUAAUAAUCCCCCGUUUUCUUUUUAGUACACUUAUUUGUCGGGGUUUCAGAGGAACGUUUCCUUUUCAUGUACUGAGCGCUAUUUCUGAGAUGGUCGCUACCAGGUUGUAAGAAGCCAAGCAUAGAAUAGCCUUCCUUUGCUGGGGUUUGGCUUUGAUGAGGAAUCUUAAGAGCCAGGUUUCUCUGCACGCACCUAGACAUGAUUGUCAGGUGGGACACUUUUUUUAAAAGGGGGGUUUGAUAAAAAUAACUAUUUUUUUUGUUUUGUUUUUUUUUAAGGUGUAUACACAGGGUCAGUCUGGGGGGAGAAGGCCUGUUCUUAACCUGAAGGCUUCAGGCAUUGAAGCAUUUAAAUCCACCAGCAGGUACCCAUAGGGAUUUUUGGUAGCGUCCUCAAAAGCCUCCAGAAAGAAUUGUGUUUUACCGGGAGCAUGAACAGCAAGACCUGAAGAGGAAGAAAUUUAUGCAAAGAGGCAGCAGGACUGGGAAGGAGAACAGGUCUCAAUGUGUGCUCUGCUCAAACUGACUGAUGCACCUUAUGGUGCCUGCCAUAGUAGGAGAGUCGGGAAGGUAGAGAUUUUAGCUGUAGAGAGGGAGGGAAAAAGAGGCAGGCUAUGUCAUGGAGAUUUGUUACUGAUGUCCAGGGAACGAUUACUGCAAAAACUUAGGCACCUAGUGAGUUUAGGCACCUAUAGGGUUAGGCGAUAACUGAGUGGAGAUUUUUUGGAUCACAGUGUCACCUAAAACUGGGAUUUUAGGCCCCUAAAUUUCUUUGUAGUAUAUUCAUUUAGACCCUGGAAUGUAGCUAACUAAAGGCCUGGUCCUGUGAAGUGCUGAGUGUCUACUAAGAGGUGCUGAGCACCUUUAGCUCCCAUUGAAUUUCUGUACUCUUCCAUAGAGUCUUCUUGGAGAAAUAAGAUAGAUAAGACCUGAAUUCCUAAUGUGUAAAAUAAGAAAAAAAACAAAA
Long non-coding RNA from Trachemys scripta elegans, 3742 nucleotides. RefSeq lists it as uncharacterized. The transcript is spliced from 2 exons. The record is from RefSeq and is a predicted model, not a curated record. Lineage: Eukaryota; Metazoa; Chordata; Testudines; Emydidae.